Molecule: ribosomal RNA, 468 nt
Filed under: uncultured bacterium
Lineage: Bacteria
Description: partial 16S ribosomal RNA
Rfam family: Bacterial small subunit ribosomal RNA
Source: RNAcentral
GAUGAACGCUGGCGGCGUGCUUAACACAUGCAAGUCGAACGGUGAACACGGAGCUUGCUCUGUGGGAUCAGUGGCGAACGGGUGAGUAACACGUGAGCAACCUGCCCCUGACUCUGGGAUAAGCGCUGGAAACGGCGGCUAAUACUGGAUAUGUGACGUGAUCGCAUGGUCUGCGUCUGGAAAGAAUUUCGGUUGGGGAUGGGCUCGCGGCCUAUCAGCUUGUUGGUGAGGUACUGGCUCACCAAGGCAUCGACGGGUAGCCGGCCUGAGAGGGUGACCGGCGACACUGGGACUGAGACACGGCACAGACUCCUACGGGACGCAGCAGUGGAGAAUAUUACACAAUGGGCGCAAGCCUGAUGCAGCAACGCCGCGUGAGGGAUGACGGCCUUCGGGUUGUAAACCUCUUUUAGCAGGGAAGAAGCGAAAGUGACGGUACCUGCAGAAAAAGCGCCGGCUAACUACGUG